AACGAACGCUGGCGGCAUGCCUAACACAUGCAAGUCGAACGAGACAUUCGGGUCUAGUGGCGCACGGGUGCGUAACGCGUGGGAACCUGCCCUUAGGUUCGGAAUAACUCCCCGAAAGGGGUGAUAAUACCGGAUAAUGUCAUCGGACAAAAGAUUUAUCGCCUUUGGAUGGGCCCGCGUUGGAUUAGCUAGUUGGUAGGGUAAAAGCCUACCAAGGCGACGAUCCAUAGCUGGUCUGAGAGGAUGAUCAGCCACACUGGGACUGAGACACGGCCCAGACUCCUACGGGAGGCAGCAGUGGGGAAUAUUGGACAAUGGGCGAAAGCCUGAUCCAGCAAUGCCGCGUGAGUGAUGAAGGCCUUAGGGUUGUAAAGCUCUUUUACCCGGGAUGAUAAUGACAGUACCGGGAGAAUAAGCUCCGGCUAACUCCGUG
This 433-nucleotide ribosomal RNA is filed under the name uncultured bacterium. Its description in RNAcentral is "partial 16S ribosomal RNA". It matches the Rfam family "Bacterial small subunit ribosomal RNA", at positions 29 to 507 of the family's 1533-position model. The record is from RNAcentral.